Molecule: non-coding RNA, 144 nt
Filed under: chicken gut metagenome
Source: RNAcentral
AAAGAAGCAAUAGCGAAAUCGUGGCUCUAUGAACAAGAACUUGAUAAUAAGGCUCAUUAGAAGGAUAAGUUGCCUUAACACAACAAAGUCCAAAAGACAAACGUAAAUCUGAUGGGUAAAUCAAGAGAGUAAACGAGGAAAGAG